UGGGGAAUAUUGCACAAUGGGCGCAAGCCUGAUGCAGCCAUGCCGCGUGUGUGAAGAAGGCCUUCGGGUUGUAAAGCACUUUCAGCGAGGAGGAAGGUGGUGAACUUAAUACGUUCAUCAAUUGACGUUACUCGCAGAAGAAGCACCGGCUAACUCCGUGCCAGCAGCCGCGGUAAUACGGAGGGUGCAAGCGUUAAUCGGAAUUACUGGGCGUAAAGCGCACGCAGGCGGUUUGUUAAGUCAGAUGUGAAAUCCCCGGGCUCAACCUGGGAACUGCAUUUGAAACUGGCAAGCUAGAGUCUCGUAGAGGGGGGUAGAAUUCCAGGUGUAGCGGUGAAAUGCGUAGAGAUCUGGAGGAAUACCGGUGGCGAAGGCGGCCCCCUGGACGAAGACUGACGCUCAGGCUGCGAAAGCGUGGGGCAGCAAACAGGAUUAGAUACCCUGGUAGUCCACGCUGUAAACGAUGUCGAUUUUGGAGGUUGUGCCCUUGAGGCGUGGCUUCCGGAGCUAACGCGUUAAAUCG
RNAcentral lists this ribosomal RNA (523 nucleotides) under uncultured bacterium. RNAcentral's name for it is "partial 16S ribosomal RNA". It matches the Rfam family "Bacterial small subunit ribosomal RNA", at positions 355 to 867 of the family's 1533-position model. The record is from RNAcentral.